Molecule: ribosomal RNA, 567 nt
Filed under: uncultured bacterium
Lineage: Bacteria
Description: bacterial SSU rRNA
Rfam family: Bacterial small subunit ribosomal RNA
Source: RNAcentral
CCUACGGGAGGCAGCAGUGGGGAAUAUUGCACAAUGGGCGAAAGCCUGAUGCAGCGACGCCGCGUGAGGGAUGACGGCCUUCGGGUUGUAAACCUCUUUCAGCAGGGAAGAAGCGAAAGUGACGGUACCUGCAGAAGAAGCGCCGGCUAACUACGUGCCAGCAGCCGCGGUAAUACGUAGGGCGCAAGCGUUGUCCGGAAUUAUUGGGCGUAAAGAGCUCGUAGGCGGCUUGUCACGUCGGAUGUGAAAGCCCGAGGCUUAACCUCGGGUCUGCAUUCGAUACGGGCUAGCUAGAGUGUGGUAGGGGAGAUCGGAAUUCCUGGUGUAGCGGUGAAAUGCGCAGAUAUCAGGAGGAACACCGGUGGCGAAGGCGGAUCUCUGGGCCAUUACUGACGCUGAGGAGCGAAAGCGUGGGGAGCGAACAGGAUUAGAUACCCUGGUAGUCCACGCCGUAAACGUUGGGAACUAGGUGUUGGCGACAUUCCACGUCGUCGGUGCCGCAGCUAACGCAUUAAGUUCCCCGCCUGGGGAGUACGGCCGCAAGGCUAAAACUCAAGGAAUUGACGG